RNAcentral lists this long non-coding RNA (500 nucleotides) under Rattus norvegicus (Norway rat). RNAcentral describes it as "long non-coding RNA NONRATT025334". The record is from RNAcentral. Lineage: Eukaryota; Metazoa; Chordata; Mammalia; Rodentia; Muridae.
GCAGCCUGCUGAUUUGUGGACAUUCCUUUGCGGUUUUUAUCUGCCUCAUGGGUUCCUCCUUUCCUUUGAAGUCUUGGUGGCUUAGAGAGGAAGGCUGUCUUCUGUGGGGCUGGACCUGAUAAAUGGACAGCCUGGACCACGCCCUGUCCACCAUACGGUUUCCCUGGCCCUUAGGGACUCUGGCUCCUGAUCUUGGGUCACUAGCCUGGCUUACAGGGAAUUUUUUUCCUUUUUCUCUCCUAAAGGAGCCACCCCAGGGCAGCAUUAUGUGCAGGCUCUGGAGAGUUCCGGACACUUCGGAAAGGCUUCUCCCCAUACCAUUCGGAAUCCCAGCUUGCGUCCCUGCCGCCCUCCUACCAGGAAGUCCUACAGAACGGUCCAGCCUGCCCUGUACCGGAGCUGCCCUCACCCCCUUCCACCGUCUACAGUUCAGCAGGACAGAAGCCUGAGGCUGUUGUGCAUGCCAUGAAGGUUCUGGAAGUACAUGAGAACCUUGACCG